Molecule: unclassified non-coding RNA, 282 nt
Filed under: Chytridiomycota sp.
Lineage: Eukaryota; Fungi; Chytridiomycota
Description: partial contains small subunit ribosomal RNA and internal transcribed spacer 1
Rfam family: Eukaryotic small subunit ribosomal RNA (bases 1-47)
Source: RNAcentral
AAACUCGUAACAAGGUAACCGUAGGUGAACCUGCGGUUGGAUCAUUAAAAAAAAUUUUAAAAAAAGUGCAUUUAAAAAAGUUCACUUUUUUGGAUUACUUUUUUCCCACCACUUGGUGAACUGUUAUUUUAUUGACUAUAAGAGUAGGUUGGUCAGGAGUUCCUCCUGUUUCUGCUUGGAGCAAUUAGUUCCUCUGCUUUUUUGUUAAAAAACCUAGUCUGAAAAAAUAUUUUUCUAAAAAUAAAAUAAAAACAACUUUUGACAUUGGAUCUCUAGGCUCUC